UACGAAGGGGGCUAGCGUUGCUCGGAAUCACUGGGCGUAAAGCGCACGUAGGCGGAUCUUUAAGUCAGGGGUGAAAUCCUGGAGCUCAACUCCAGAACUGCCUUUGAUACUGGGGAUCUCGAGUCCGGAAGAGGUGAGUGGAACUCCGAGUGUAGAGGUGAAAUUCGUAGAUAUUCGGAAGAACACCAGUGGCGAAGGCGGCUCACUGGUCCGGUACUGACGCUGAGGUGCGAAAGCGUGGGGAGCAGACAGG
Molecule: ribosomal RNA, 253 nt
Filed under: uncultured bacterium
Lineage: Bacteria
Description: partial 16S ribosomal RNA
Rfam family: Bacterial small subunit ribosomal RNA
Source: RNAcentral